RNAcentral lists this ribosomal RNA (1486 nucleotides) under Lacticaseibacillus paracasei subsp. paracasei. Its description in RNAcentral is "bacterial SSU rRNA". It matches the Rfam family "Bacterial small subunit ribosomal RNA". Lineage: Bacteria; Bacillati; Bacillota; Bacilli; Lactobacillales; Lactobacillaceae. The record is from RNAcentral.
AGAGUUUGAUCCUGGCUCAGGAUGAACGCUGGCGGCGUGCCUAAUACAUGCAAGUCGAACGAGUUCUCGUUGAUGAUCGGUGCUUGCACCGAGAUUCAACAUGGAACGAGUGGCGGACGGGUGAGUAACACGUGGGUAACCUGCCCUUAAGUGGGGGAUAACAUUUGGAAACAGAUGCUAAUACCGCAUAGAUCCAAGAACCGCAUGGUUCUUGGCUGAAAGAUGGCGUAAGCUAUCGCUUUUGGAUGGACCCGCGGCGUAUUAGCUAGUUGGUGAGGUAAUGGCUCACCAAGGCGAUGAUACGUAGCCGAACUGAGAGGUUGAUCGGCCACAUUGGGACUGAGACACGGCCCAAACUACUACGGGAGGCAGCAGUAGGGAAUCUUCCACAAUGGACGCAAGUCUGAUGGAGCAACGCCGCGUGAGUGAAGAAGGCUUUCGGGUCGUAAAACUCUGUUGUUGGAGAAGAAUGGUCGGCAGAGUAACUGUUGUCGGCGUGACGGUAUCCAACCAGAAAGCCACGGCUAACUACGUGCCAGCAGCCGCGGUAAUACGUAGGUGGCAAGCGUUAUCCGGAUUUAUUGGGCGUAAAGCGAGCGCAGGCGGUUUUUUAAGUCUGAUGUGAAAGCCCUCGGCUUAACCGAGGAAGCGCAUCGGAAACUGGGAAACUUGAGUGCAGAAGAGGACAGUGGAACUCCAUGUGUAGCGGUGAAAUGCGUAGAUAUAUGGAAGAACACCAGUGGCGAAGGCGGCUGUCUGGUCUGUAACUGACGCUGAGGCUCGAAAGCAUGGGUAGCGAACAGGAUUAGAUACCCUGGUAGUCCAUGCCGUAAACGAUGAAUGCUAGGUGUUGGAGGGUUUCCGCCCUUCAGUGCCGCAGCUAACGCAUUAAGCAUUCCGCCUGGGGAGUACGACCGCAAGGUUGAAACUCAAAGGAAUUGACGGGGGCCCGCACAAGCGGUGGAGCAUGUGGUUUAAUUCGAAGCAACGCGAAGAACCUUACCAGGUCUUGACAUCUUUUGAUCACCUGAGAGAUCAGGUUUCCCCUUCGGGGGCAAAAUGACAGGUGGUGCAUGGUUGUCGUCAGCUCGUGUCGUGAGAUGUUGGGUUAAGUCCCGCAACGAGCGCAACCCUUAUGACUAGUUGCCAGCAUUUAGUUGGGCACUCUAGUAAGACUGCCGGUGACAAACCGGAGGAAGGUGGGGAUGACGUCAAAUCAUCAUGCCCCUUAUGACCUGGGCUACACACGUGCUACAAUGGAUGGUACAACGAGUUGCGAGACCGCGAGGUCAAGCUAAUCUCUUAAAGCCAUUCUCAGUUCGGACUGUAGGCUGCAACUCGCCUACACGAAGUCGGAAUCGCUAGUAAUCGCGGAUCAGCACGCCGCGGUGAAUACGUUCCCGGGCCUUGUACACACCGCCCGUCACACCAUGAGAGUUUGUAACACCCGAAGCCGGUGGCGUAACCCUUUAGGAGCGAGCCGUCU